Molecule: ribosomal RNA, 560 nt
Filed under: uncultured archaeon
Lineage: Archaea
Description: bacterial SSU rRNA
Rfam family: Archaeal small subunit ribosomal RNA
Source: RNAcentral
CAGCAGGCGCGAAAACUCUACAAUGCAGGCAACUGCGAUAGGGGGACAUCGAGUGGCAUCCACCUUGGGUGCCUGUCCCACCGUCUAAAAAACGGUGGUUAGCAAGGGCCGGGCAAGACCGGUGCCAGCCGCCGCGGUAAUACCGGCGGCUCGAGUGGUGGCCGAUAUUAUUGAGUCUAAAGGGUCCGUAGCCGGCUUUGCAAGUCCCCUGGGAAAUCCAGCGGCUUAACCGUUGGGCUUUCAUGGGAUACUACAUUGCUUGGGACUGGGAGAGGUAGGAGGUACUCGGGGGGUAGGGGUGAAAUCCUGUAAUCCCCCGGGGACCACCGGUGGCGAAGGCGUCCUACCAGAACAGGUCCGACGGUGAGGGACGAAAGCUAGGGGCACGGACCGGAUUAGAUACCCGGGUAGUCCUAGCCGUAAACGAUGCCCGCUAGGUGUCACGGCGGUCGUGAAUCGCCGUGGUGCCGUAGGGAAGCCGCGAAGCGGGCCACUUGGGAAGUACGGCCGCAAGGCUGAAACUUAAAGGAAUUGGCGGGGGAGCACAAGGGCGAUUCGCG